This 462-nucleotide ribosomal RNA is filed under the name Triticum aestivum (bread wheat). RNAcentral describes it as "partial small subunit ribosomal RNA". Lineage: Eukaryota; Viridiplantae; Streptophyta; Magnoliopsida; Poales; Poaceae. The record is from RNAcentral.
AUUAAGAAGGCCUAGGAGACGCUAGGACCAUUAUUUGCUGACCGUCUAGAACUACACAAGGCAUUCGAGUUGUGUGUGGACCACCGCUUGACGGUGGAGGAGUUUGAACGAAGCCGGACGGCUAUGAUUGAAACAUACCAAGUCCAAGACAACGAGACACUUAAUAGCCUGUGGGAGAAGCGAAUGUAAUGGGUGCCGGCCUACUUCAUGCAGUGCUUCUUUCCAUUUCUGCAGACUACGCAACGCAGCGAGGGGUUCAAUGCUGUUUUGAAGCGGUACGUGAGCCCUGGCAACUCAUUGCUGCAGUUUGCCAAGCAAUGUACAACUGUACAACAGAAAAUACUGGGAUCUAAGCUACAGCAAGAAGCAAACACCACACUCAAGCAGCCUAAAUUGCUAACAUAUUUACCGAUGGAGAGGCAUAUGAGCAAGAUAUACACCAACAAGAUAUUUAACAAGUAA